Molecule: non-coding RNA, 109 nt
Filed under: Stygamoeba regulata
Lineage: Eukaryota; Discosea; Stygamoebida
Source: RNAcentral
AGGAAUAAUAAAAUAGUAAUAUUAGGAACGAGAAUAGAUAAUGUGGUCGCUCUGAGCUCUGACCGGGUAUCGAUGUGUGCAGAGCUUUUUUUUUUUUUUUUUUUUUUUU